ACAUGCAGUCGAGCGGCAGCACAGAGAACUUGUUUCUCGGGUGGCGAGCGGCGGACGGGUGAGUAAUAUCGGGAAUUGCCCUGAUGUGGGGGAUAACCAUUGGAAACGAUGGCUAAUACCGCAUGAUAGCUUCGGCUCAAAGAGGGGGACCUUCGGGCCUCUCGCGUCAGGAUAUGCCCAGGUGGGAUUAGCUAGUUGGUGAGGUAAGGGCUCACCAAGGCGACGAUCCCUAGCUGGUCUGGGAGGAUGAUCAGCCACACUGGAACUGAGACACGGUCCAGACUCCUACGGGAGGCAGCAGUGGGGAAUAUUGCACAAUGGGCGCAAGCCUGAUGCAGCCAUGCCGCGUGUAUGAAGAAGGCCUUCGGGUUGUAAAGCACUUUCAGUCGUGAGGAAGGUGGUAGUGUUAAUAGCACUAUCAUUUGACGUUAGCGACAGAAGAAGCACCGGCUAACUCCGUGCCAGCAGCCGCGGUAAUACGGAGGGUGCGAGCGUUAAUCGGAAUUACUGGGCGUAAAGCGCAUGCAGGCGGCUUGUUAAGCCAGAUGUGAAAGCCCGGGGCUCAACCUCGGAAUCGCAUUUGGAACUGGCAGGCUAGAGUCUUGUAGAGGGGGGUAGAAUUUCAGGUGUAGCGGUGAAAUGCGUAGAGAUCUGAAGGAAUACCGGUGGCGAAGGCGGCCCCCUGGACAGAUACUGACACUCAGAUGCGAAAGCGUGGGGAGCAAACAGGAUUAGAUACCCUGGUAGUCCACGCCGUAAACGAUGUCUACUUGGAGGUUGUGGGCCUUGAGCCGUGGCUUUCGGGAGCUAACGCGUUUAAGUAGACCGCCCUGGGGGAGUACGGUCGCAAGAUUUAAAAACUCAAAGGGAAUUUGACGGG
Molecule: ribosomal RNA, 880 nt
Filed under: uncultured bacterium
Lineage: Bacteria
Description: bacterial SSU rRNA
Rfam family: Bacterial small subunit ribosomal RNA
Source: RNAcentral